GAUGAACGCUAGCGAUAGGCUUAACACAUGCAAGUCGAGGGGCAGCAUGGUCUUAGCUUGCUAAGACUGAUGGCGACCGGCGCACGGGUGCGUAACGCGUAUGCAACUUGCCUCACAGAGGGGGAUAACCCGUCGAAAGACGGACUAAUACCGCGUACACUCCAUCUUGGGCAUCCAAGGUAGAGGAAAUGAAAUUCGCUGUGAGAUAGGCAUGCGUCCCAUUAGCUAGUUGGUGAGGUAACGGCUCACCAAGGCGACGAUGGGUAGGGGAACUGAGAGGUUGACCCCCCGCACUGGUACUGAGACACGGACCAGACCGCUACGGGAGGCAGCGGUAGGGAAUAUGGGUGAAGGGGCGAGGGCCUGAACCCGCCAAGUCGGGUGAAGGAGGACUGUCUUAUGGAUUGUAAACUUCUUUUAAACGGGAAUAACAAGAGUCACGGGUGACUGCCUGCAUGUACCGAAUGAAUAAGCAUCGGCUAACUCCGUG
Molecule: ribosomal RNA, 490 nt
Filed under: uncultured bacterium
Lineage: Bacteria
Description: partial 16S ribosomal RNA
Rfam family: Bacterial small subunit ribosomal RNA
Source: RNAcentral